GGGCGGCAUGGAUGAUGACUUAUGGUCCUUAUAUCCUGCCUAAUUUGAAUGUGAUCCAAAUUAGAGAUAAGCAGACAAGAAGGAAAGAGAUCCCUUAUGAUUGGAAAGAAGGGUGGCACCAAGAGAUUCUUUUAUUAAUUUCUUUGAAGAGUUUGUUGGCAUGAAAAAGAUCAGAUCUCUUCCUCAUGCCAUAGCCCAUUUUUCAAAAUUUUAGGAUGCCAAAAUUGGUUUUGGCAUGGAGACUUUGGUGCCCCUCUUUUUGACCCAAAAACCCUAAUCCCUUGUUAUUUAAAGGGGGGUC
This 301-nucleotide long non-coding RNA is filed under the name Elaeis guineensis (African oil palm). Its description in RNAcentral is "long non-coding RNA (EGUI_LNC049106)". The record is from RNAcentral. Lineage: Eukaryota; Viridiplantae; Streptophyta; Magnoliopsida; Arecales; Arecaceae.